UGUGAUUUGGAGAGAAAGCGAGGGGGCAAUGGCAUGCACGUCACCACUCACCGUGUAAACUCCACCCUAUAACCGCGACGGAUUUUCCUCCCAAGGAAACAAAUAUUAAUUAUUAUUGCAAUUAAAAUCAGUAUUCAGUAUUCAGUGUGCCAUCGAACCCAGCGAAAAUUCCCUUUUUAAUCGCCACAUUUUUUUUAUAUAUUUUAUUUUCUGCAAAUUCCUUUCCUUUUCGGCCAAGAAACCGCAUAAUCCAGUACACGCACGCACCACCGUAGCAUACGAGGUGGCAUUGAACGUGUGAGUAGUGGGAACAGAUUCUGUUGCGAUCCACGCCUUAUUCAGCGUCCUUCUUUUCCAACCGCCAUAUUCUUCUGGCGAUUCAAUUUCGAACAAAACCUACGUUUGCGUCUCUCUCUCUGUCUCUCUGUGUCCACCGUCUCUCUUUUCACGACGUGACUGGUGGCACUAACGGCGCCAGAAACGCUGCGUUUUGAGCCCCAUGGGUAGCUGCCCCUGUUUCGGGUCGAGGAAGAAGAGCAAAGAGAAGAACGCCAAGGCUGGGGAAGAAGAAACCAAGAUUAGCAAAUCAGAGAAUAUUGAUGUCCUUCGAGCAUCUUCAGAUCUUAGACCAGAAGAUGACCCAACAGAGGAGGGUGACAACUCUAAAAAGGCUCAGAUAUUUACCUUCCGAGAGCUUGCAACAGCAACAAAAAAUUUUAGGGAUGAAACCUUUAUUGGCCAAGGUGGAUUUGGCAUUGUUUACAAAGGAACGAUAGCAAAAAUAAAUCAGGUUGUAGCUGUUAAGAGACUUGAUACUACCGGUGUUCAAGGGGAGAAAGAAUUUCUGGUGGAAGUUCUCAUGCUUUCUCUUCUACGCCAUUCCAACCUUGUUAAUAUGAUUGGUUACUGUGCUGAAGGGGAUCAACGUCUUCUAGUGUAUGAGUACAUGCCUUUGGGAUCUUUGGAAUCUCAUCUUCAUGAUAUUCCACCUGAUGAAGACCCACUUGAUUGGAAUACCAGAAUGAUGAUAGCUUGUGGAGCAGCAAAAGGACUAAAUUAUCUUCACAAUGAAGCAAAGCCUUCUGUUAUAUACAGGGAUCUAAAAUCAUCCAACAUACUGUUGGAUGAAGCUUUCUUUCCAAAACUUUCUGAUUUUGGGCUUGCAAAAUUUGGUCCAACUGGAGAUCAAUCAUAUGUUGCCACUAGGGUCAUGGGAACACAAGGUUACUGUGCCCCUGAAUAUGCCACUAGUGGAAAAUUAACAAUGAGAUCUGACAUUUACAGUUUUGGGGUUGUGUUGUUAGAAAUAAUUACUGGACGCAGAGCAUAUGAUGAUAACCGUGACACUGAAAAGCAUCUUGUAGACUGGGCACGCCCAAUGUUUAGAGACAAAAAGUAUUUUCCAAGAUUGGCAGAUCCAAGGUUGAAAGGUCACUACUCAGGAUCUUAUCUAUCAAUGGCCGUUGAAUUGACAGCCAUGUGUCUUCGAGAAGAGCCACGUCAUCGACCUAAUGCAAGUGAUAUAGUGGAAGCUCUAGAGUUCUUGUCAUCCAAACAAUAUACCCCAAAAAAGUCCAACACAACAGAGAUAGCGGGUGGAGAAUCCCCAACCGAAAUAUCUGCCAUUUUGCCUAAAGAAUCACAAAGAGAGCGAGCUGUUGCUGAGGCUAAGCUGUGGGGGGAGACAUGGAGGCAGAGACGACAAAGUGAGCAAAGUAGUCCAGAGGAAGCAAAUAGGAGGAAGAAGAAAGAAGACCUAUGAUGCAGAUUAGAAGUGGCUGGUGUCUAAAAAGAAAGAGCUCUACAAGUUAAGAUCGGGACAGGUAUGCAUACCAUAAAAGCACGUCGAGUUUAUGAUUCAAUCUUCUCUUGAAGGAGCGUUCAUUCAAAUAGGAGGUGAAGGUGAAGAAAAUCAAAAAUGGAAGAGAAGGAGAUGGAGGCAUCACUUCUUGAAGAAUACAAGCCUAAAUGUUGCUUUGCCAUAAAAGUUCCUUAGUGAGAGUGCUAUUGGAGUCAUACUUGAGAGAGAAUUCAAGAGACUUUUGAGAGAAAAAUUGAAAUUUUCAUUCAACAAUUCAUCAAAAGUGAUUAAAAGAGGUGAGAAGGAGACUUAUGUGGAUUGGUUUGUGAUGCAAGCUAACCAAAUCACAAUCAAAUUGACCAUAGUUAGGUUAGCUUGUAGGGCAAGUUGACUUAACUCUAGUUAGCCUACCUAACCAUAAUUUAGUAAUCCUAAACAUAGUUUACAUCUUCCCUCAAUCAAGUCUAGAUAUAUUAGUUAUGAAGAAAGUGUCACUAAGCAUGGAAAGUAUGA
Cajanus cajan (pigeon pea) is the source of this 2314-nucleotide RNA transcript. It is a transcript of the gene named putative serine/threonine-protein kinase PBL7, with no coding region annotated. The record is from RefSeq and is a predicted model, not a curated record. Lineage: Eukaryota; Viridiplantae; Streptophyta; Magnoliopsida; Fabales; Fabaceae.